CCUACGGGAGGCUGCAGUGAGGAAUAUUGGUCAAUGGUCGGGAGACUGAACCAGCCAAGCCGCGUGAGGGAUGAAGGUACAGAGUAUCGUAAACCUCUUUUGUCAGGGAACAAAGGCGGGGACGUGUCCCCGGAUGAGUGUACCUGAAGAAAAAGCAUCGGCUAACUCCGUGCCAGCAGCCGCGGUAAUACGGAGGAUGCGAGCGUUAUCCGGUUGUAUUGGGUUUAAAGGGUGCGCAGGCGGUCUGUUAAGUCAGCGGUAAAAGCCCGGGUCCAAACCCCGGCCCGCCGUUGAAACUGGCAGUCUCGAGUUGGAGAGAAGUAUGCGGAAUGCGCGGUGUAGCAGUGAAAUGCAUAGAUAUCGCGCAGAACUCCGAUUGCGAAGGCAGCAUGCCGGCUCCACACUGACGCUGAGGCACGAAAGCGUGGGUAUCGAACAGGAUUAGAUACCCGUGUAGUC
This 459-nucleotide ribosomal RNA is filed under the name uncultured bacterium. RNAcentral describes it as "partial 16S ribosomal RNA". It matches the Rfam family "Bacterial small subunit ribosomal RNA", at positions 338 to 795 of the family's 1533-position model. The record is from RNAcentral.